This 56-nucleotide transfer RNA is filed under the name Loxodonta africana (African savanna elephant). It matches the Rfam family "tRNA", at positions 8 to 63 of the family's 71-position model. From Rfam's summary of the family: Transfer RNA (tRNA) molecules are approximately 80 nucleotides in length. Their secondary structure includes four short double-helical elements and three loops (D, anti-codon, and T loops). Further hydrogen bonds mediate the characteristic L-shaped molecular structure. tRNAs have two regions of fundamental functional importance: the anti-codon, which is responsible for specific mRNA codon recognition, and the 3' end, to which the tRNAs corresponding amino acid is attached (by aminoacyl-tRNA synthetases). tRNAs cope with the degeneracy of the genetic code in two manners: having more than one tRNA (with a specific anti-codon) for a particular amino acid; and 'wobble' base-pairing, i.e. permitting non-standard base-pairing at the 3rd anti-codon position. Lineage: Eukaryota; Metazoa; Chordata; Mammalia; Proboscidea; Elephantidae. The record is from Rfam by way of RNAcentral.
UGGUUCAGCGGUAGAACUCUUGCCUUCCAUGCAGGAAACCUGGGUUCGAUUCCCAG